GAAAAUGAGAUCUGAGGACAGGAAAGUGGAAUUGAUUUCAUGCUUAGCAAAAUGAGGGUUUCAGCAGAGGACGUUUUUGUGGCGAGGCUACGGAAUCAGAAGGAAAGUUUGUCUGGGCAACUGGGAGAUUUACAGUUUUUCAUGCAGCAAACCAAGACAUUGGGGUUAGCAUCAUCCCAAAUGGCUGGCAAAGAUUGCUUGUAACUGUCAGUGUAGGACAGGAAAGGCAGGUAUAGGUUAGGGAGGGCAUCCAUCGGUGAGCUCUGACUGGAUCUGAGGACCUGUCACACUUGACCAGAGAUGAAGGCUGCAGCACAUUCCUGGAUCAGAGGACUCCAUGUUGGACACCACGAAAUGGAGAAGUCCCGUCCUGGAUGGCUGCGGUGAUGACCUAGCCCAAGAUGAACUGACCCUUCUACGACGAGGACUUUGCCCAAGAUGAACCGACCCUUCUACGACGAGGACUUCGCCCAAGAUGAACCGACCCUUCUACGACGAGGACUUCGCCCAAGAUGAACCGACCUUUUCCAGGGGAUGUCUUCAGAUGUUGGACCUUGCCAAACUGUACACAUGCCUCAAUGGCUGCUACGUCACUCUGCCCAACAGGACAUGGUCACCGAGAUUUAAAUUUUUUUUUUUUUAAAUGGACUUGAACCCCCGUUGUCCACACUGACCCACCACCACACAUGACAAAACACUGUACAUGUGAUGCACCACACUAAAAUACAGACACUGCUACUUUCAGCCUGUUUCAGUCUGUAAAAAAUCGCUAGCCCUCUGCAUGACCCAACAGCAUGGAUGUUUGAGUUCUUUAAUUGCUCAAUUUUUAAAUCAGUCAAGAUUUUAUGAGCUGGGUCUUCUUCACACAACAGAGAACAAGGUAAAUUGAGUCGACUCGUAACAUGGUAAGGCAUUUCGUCCUUCCCCUUCUUCUAUGUGUGUGUGAGGAAAUCUGGCCACAGAUCCUGACUGAGUAGCAUACCAUGGCUGUGCAGUUUCCAAAAUCAGACAAGGAUCCAUCUGAUUUUGUGACUCGGCUUGUCAUGAUAUGCAUGUAUCUUCCUCUGAAACAAAGGAUUGAAAUGGACAGGUUUGUAGUGUAAAUCACAUCACUUGUAGAUGGUGAUGAUGUACAGACACUGCUACUUUCAGCCUGUAAUGUUAGACAUUGAAAACUUGUAUUUAUUGCCUUCUUUAUAUCAAGUAAAACUUUUGUUCUUAACUUUAUGGUUGACUUGUAUUUUUUUAUAUUUCUGUGAUGAGUGUUAUUUUGACAAGUUAGUACUUUGAACUUUAAACUCAAACCCUAUAUAGAUUUGUACAAGGUUUUAAAGGGAAUAUAAUAAAUUGGACUCUAAAGCAGGGAAUGCUACAGUGGAUGGUGAUGCUGCUACUUGCCCUCAUCUCACAACUUCCUUACUUCUAGCCACUGACACUAAAUAUGGCUAAUGCAUAAAAAUAUGCCACUGAACAUUAGACUACUUUUCUUUAACAUGCCUUUUUUUUACCUACAGAUGUUUACUAUUUUAUUUCAUCUGCUUUUAAUUCUGUCUUUACCAUUUUACGCUUAAAGGUUUUAUUUUUCUACUAUGGAAAGCACUUUGUAGAGUUGUUUUGAAAAGUGCUAUUCAAAUAGUUUUUUGAACAGUGUUGCAGUACCAUUAACACCAGCAGCAAUAUGAGCAGCCACACAUGCAAUGCUAAUAUGUCUGACUGUCUCAGCCUCAGGUAGGUGAUGUGAUGAAUCACAGCCAGAUAACGCUCCACACAUUAGUGCAGGAAAAUAUUCAGCAGUUAAAUAAAACACCAAAGUGUGAGGCACAGAUGUACAAGAUGUUUCCCAAAGUAAAGAUCAGACUUGGGACAACCGAGCGGUAGACAAAGAAGUAAGAAGAAGCAAGCUGCAAACACUGGUGACCUAAGAUGGAGAGAGGCGUGAGGAGACGAUUCUUCCAGUCUCAGCAUCCAGUGCAUCAUGAAUUCGACAGGAAGACCGACAUUUUGGUUGUGUGAUGAUGCUUUUGUGGAGAAGGGGGCUAAUUUUUUUGAUUUUUUUCCUUGGACCAGAAAAUGAUGAAAAAUGUUGAUCAUUGUUUCUCAAACCUGGAAGUGAUGUUCUCAAAUGUCUUGUUUUGUCCACAAAAUGAAUUGGUUUUAAUGAUUUGUGUUAUAUGGAACAAAGAAAUUUAAAGCAGUUUUUGAAAUUGAAUAUUUUCAUACAGACUUCUUCAGGGCCGAAGUAUCAUCAAUCCUAGCAAGUUUGGUUCAGAUAGGACCUUGAUUCGCGAAGUUGUAGCAGUUUGUUUUUUUGUCGCAAAAAUCCAACUUUGCUCCAUUGCCAUGGCAACGCUGUUAUACGAUUUGCCAUCAAAUUCAGCAUGCAUCAUCUACCAUGUUAUGAGUGUUUUCACCAACUUUGAGUUGUAUACGAUAAUCUCUAAAAGUUAUUUCCGAAAUCGUAAAGUAACUUUUUUGGUUUAUUUUCUGCCACCACCAGGAGGCGAUGUUUUCAAACUUGACAGUUUUUACAUAGAUGUCUUCAGCACUGGCCCAUCAUCUAUCAU
This is a long non-coding RNA of Solea solea (common sole), 2564 nucleotides long. RefSeq lists it as uncharacterized. The transcript has 3 exons. NCBI's taxonomy places the organism in Eukaryota, Metazoa, Chordata, Actinopteri, Pleuronectiformes, Soleidae. The record is from RefSeq and is a predicted model, not a curated record.